CAAUCCACUGAGCCGUACCAGCCAGGGUUGUAUUUUUCUUUGAAGGGUCUGUUUCUACUCCACCUCCUUUCCAUACUUGUUUUUAUUUAUACAUUAUCAAGUAUCAAAAAAGAUUUGAGGUAUGUUUUCAGAGCAAGUAGCAUAAAUUAAUGGUAAGAUAGCUUUGUGAGGGCCAAGGAGAGAGAAGAGUCAAGACCAAAUGGCAAGAGGACCAUGCAAGCAUGAAAUUGUCAUACCUCCUGAAGUGCUUACGCCUCUCAAAGGGGCCAAAUCAAAGUGCAGUCCGUGCUGUGUUCAUUCCCAAGCUGGGAUCUCUGGGCGAUGUCUCUUUCUCUUGUUACUCUGAUCCUGUCUAGAUAUUAUGUGACCAGUGGACUGAAUUGAAAAAUUAACUGUGAAAAAAAGCUACAUAAAACAGUACAGAAGAGAGGAAAGCAGUUGAAAAAUGUAUUAAUGUAUAUUUUAAGUUUUAUAUAAAUUGCUGAAAUACGUAAAUGUGUUAUUUAAAUCCUGUCGUAAGAAAUGUUUUUUGCUGCAAUCCUUAGCCUCCCAGCUUCCCUCCACAACCUCCCGUAUGCUGUUGUGGAACAGUAAUGAUUUCCCUGUUUAAUAACAUAGAUCAAUCAUGCUAAUCAUUCCCGUAACAGUUUUCUCCCAGUGAUGUACCUUGUGUAUUAAACACUUGGAGUGGAUAAUUUUUUAACACCCUUUAUGCUACAAAGUUAUUUUCAGUGAUCAUGAAAUAAUACAAAAAAGUACACAGAAUUUUCUUCAACUUCAGAUACGUGUAUAUAUACAUAUAUACACAUAUCUUUGUAUGUAUUUACAUACAGUCAAAAUCUUAUGGGAAAAAGUAAUAGACUAAGUUUUAAAUUGCAUUAAUAUACUUUUUGAGAAAAGUGGGAAACUUACAUACAAGGAAUGAUAUGCCAAUUUCUAUUUUUGAGCUAUCUUCAAAUAUUAAUGAUACUGUCAAAACUGAUCUUUCUAUAUUAAUGUUCCAAAAAGAUUAUACCCAGAUUUGUCAUCUACCCUCACUCAUAACUGAAUAAAGAACAGUUUUAAUUUUAAAAAGUACUUCAAAAAGCAGGAGAAAAAUUAUAGGUAAAUUCUUAAACAUAAGGAUAAGUGUGUCAGGGUUUCAUGAAAGUCCCUAUCACUGUAUAUUCCCAAAAUUGCAAGACUGUCAGUGUUUUGAUAAUCAGGACUGAUUCUAUCAAACUUUAAUGCAA
Molecule: long non-coding RNA, 1232 nt
Organism: Phyllostomus discolor (pale spear-nosed bat)
Lineage: Eukaryota; Metazoa; Chordata; Mammalia; Chiroptera; Phyllostomidae
Exons: 2
Source: RefSeq, a predicted model, not a curated record